UGGGGAAUUUUGGACAAUGGGGGAAACCCUGAUCCAGCCAUCCCGCGUGUGCGAUGAAGGCCUUCGGGUUGUAAAGCACUUUUGUCAGGAAAGAAACGUCAUGGGUUAAUACCCCGUGAAACUGACGGUACCUGCAGAAUAAGCACCGGCUAACUACGUGCCAGCAGCCGCGGUAAUACGUACGGUGCAAGCGUUAAUCGGAAUUACUGGGCGUAAAGCGUGCGCAGGCGGUUCGGAAAGAAAGAUGUGAAAUCCCAGAGCUCAACUUUGUAACUGAAUUUUUAACUACCGGUCGAGAGUGUGUCAGAGGGAGGUGGAAUUCGGCGUGUAGCAGUGAAAUGCGUAGAUAUGCUGAGGAACAACGAUGGCGAAGGCAGCCUCGUGGGAUAACACUGACGCUCAUGCAAGAAAGGGUGGGGUGGAAACAGG
Molecule: ribosomal RNA, 429 nt
Filed under: Acidobacteriota bacterium
Lineage: Bacteria; Pseudomonadati; Acidobacteriota
Description: Acidobacteria bacterium partial 16S ribosomal RNA
Rfam family: Bacterial small subunit ribosomal RNA
Source: RNAcentral